CUUGCAGGGGCGAGUAAAGUGGCGCACGGGUGAGUAACGCGUGGUUAAUCUACCCUUGGGUUUGGGAUAACGUUCCGAAAGGGGCGCUAAUACCGGAUAAGACCACGGUGUCCACGGGCACUGGGGUAAAAGUGGGCCUCUACAUGUAAGCUCAUGCCUGAGGAUGAGACCGCGUCCCAUUAGCUUGUUGGUGAGGUAACGGCUCACCAAGGCCGCGAUGGGUAGCUGAUCUGAGAGGAUGAUCAGCCACACUGGGACUGGAACACGGCCCAGACUCCUACGGGAGGCAGCAGUGAGGAAUCUUGCGCAAUGGGGGAAACCCUGACGCAGCCACGCCGCGUGGGUGAAGAAGGCCUUCGGGUUGUAAAGCCCUGUCAGGUGGGAAGAACCGCGGUCCGGUCAAUACCCGGGCUGCCUGACGGUACCACCAAAGGAAGCACCGGCUAACUCCGUGCCAGCAGCCGCGGUAAUACGGAGGGUGCAAGCGUUGUUCGGAAUUACUGGGCGUAAAGCGCGUGUAGGCGGACCGGUAAGUCGGGAGUGAAAGCCCUGGGCUCAACCCAGGAAGUGCUUCCGAUACUGCCGGCCUUGAGUUCCGGAGAGGGUGGUGGAAUUCCCGGUGUAGAGGUGAAAUUCGUAGAUAUCGGGAGGAACACCAGUGGCGAAGGCGACCACCUGGACGAGGACUGACGCUGAGACGCGAAAGCGUGGGGAGCAAACAGGAUUAGAUACCCUGGUAGUCCACGCCGUAAACGGUGUUCACUAGGUGUAGCGGGUAUUGACCCCCGCUGUGCCGCAGC
RNAcentral lists this ribosomal RNA (800 nucleotides) under uncultured delta proteobacterium. Its description in RNAcentral is "bacterial SSU rRNA". It matches the Rfam family "Bacterial small subunit ribosomal RNA", at positions 77 to 852 of the family's 1533-position model. Lineage: Bacteria; Deltaproteobacteria. The record is from RNAcentral.